Molecule: long non-coding RNA, 222 nt
Filed under: Lathyrus oleraceus (garden pea)
Lineage: Eukaryota; Viridiplantae; Streptophyta; Magnoliopsida; Fabales; Fabaceae
Description: Pisum sativum (pea) long non-coding RNA (PSAT_LNC019773)
Source: RNAcentral
UAUCUUCAGUCCACCUCUCAAAAGGACUUACACUUUACUUAUCUUUAGUCAACCUUAUUAGUGAAUUGACAAUAAAGCUUAUAAGCAUUUGUACUAUGAUACCCACCAGUAAAAUCACCUUGCUUAUAUCAUCCAACUUCUUUCUAGUAGCAUUUGGAACGUGUUUAUAACAGACAGAACCAAAUACUCUAAAAUGACUCACACUUUACUUAUCUUCAGUCC